GGUGGUUCAGUGGUAGAAUGCUUGCCUUGCAUGCAUGAAACCCUGAGUUUGAUUCCUCAGCACCA
This 65-nucleotide transfer RNA is filed under the name Dipodomys ordii (Ord's kangaroo rat). It matches the Rfam family "tRNA". From Rfam's summary of the family: Transfer RNA (tRNA) molecules are approximately 80 nucleotides in length. Their secondary structure includes four short double-helical elements and three loops (D, anti-codon, and T loops). Lineage: Eukaryota; Metazoa; Chordata; Mammalia; Rodentia; Heteromyidae. The record is from Rfam by way of RNAcentral.